RNAcentral lists this ribosomal RNA (502 nucleotides) under uncultured bacterium. RNAcentral describes it as "partial 16S ribosomal RNA". It matches the Rfam family "Bacterial small subunit ribosomal RNA", at positions 30 to 523 of the family's 1533-position model. The record is from RNAcentral.
AUUGAACGCUGGCGGCAUGCCUUACACAUGCAAGUCGAACGGCAGCAUAGGAGCUUGCUCCUGAUGGCGAGUGGCGAACGGGUGAGUAAUAUAUCGGAACGUGCCCUAGAGUGGGGGAUAACUAGUCGAAAGACUAGCUAAUACCGCAUACGAUCUACGGAUGAAAGUGGGGGAUCGCAAGACCUCAUGCUCCUGGAGCGGCCGAUAUCUGAUUAGCUAGUUGGUGGGGUAAAAGCCUACCAAGGCAACGAUCAGUAGCUGGUCUGAGAGGACGACCAGCCACACUGGGACUGAGACACGGCCCAGACUCCUACGGGAGGCAGCAGUGGGGAAUUUUGGACAAUGGGGGCAACCCUGAUCCAGCAAUGCCGCGUGAGUGAAGAAGGCCUUCGGGUUGUAAAGCUCUUUUGUCAGGGAAGAAACGGUAGUAGCGAAUAACUACCACUAAUGACGGUACCUGAAGAAUAAGCACCGGCUAACUACGUGCCAGCCGCCGCCGUAA